GACGAACGCUGGCGGCGUGCCUAACACAUGCAAGUCGAACGCUCAGGCUUGGUGCUUGCUCUUGUUGGAUUAGUGGCGAACGGGUGAGUAACACGUGAGUAACCUGCCCUUGACUCUGGGAUAAGCUUGGGAAACUGGGUCUAAUACUGGAUAAUAUAUGCCACCGCAUGGUGCUGUGUGGAAAGGCUUUUGCUGUUUUUGUUUUGGAUCAAGCCCCAUCGGCUUGUUGAUGGGGUAAUGUCCUACCAAGGCGACGCGGGGUAGCAGACCUGAGAGGGGGACCGGACACGCUGGGACUGAGACGCGGCACAGACUCGAACGGGAGGCAGCAGUGGAGAAGAGUACACAAGGGGAGGGAGCCAGAUGCAGCGACGCAGCGUGGGGGAAGAGGGGCUUCGGGUUGUAAACCUAUUUCAGCACGGAAGAAGAGAGAGUGACGGUACGUGCAGAAGAAGCGCCGGCUAACUACGUG
Molecule: ribosomal RNA, 472 nt
Filed under: uncultured bacterium
Lineage: Bacteria
Description: partial 16S ribosomal RNA
Rfam family: Bacterial small subunit ribosomal RNA
Source: RNAcentral